Molecule: ribosomal RNA, 426 nt
Filed under: Pseudomonas sp. p99-361
Lineage: Bacteria; Pseudomonadati; Pseudomonadota; Gammaproteobacteria; Pseudomonadales; Pseudomonadaceae
Description: partial 23S ribosomal RNA
Rfam family: Bacterial large subunit ribosomal RNA
Source: RNAcentral
GUUAUAUGGUCAAGUGAAGAAGCGCAUACGGUGGAUGCCUUGGCAGUCAGAGGCGAUGAAAGACGUGGUAGCCUGCGAUAAGCUUUGGGGAGUCGGCAAACAGACUGUGAUCCAGAGAUCUCUGAAUGGGGGAACCCACUCAGCAUAAGCUGAGUAUCUUGUACUGAAUACAUAGGUGCAAGAGGCGAACCAGGGGAACUGAAACAUCUAAGUACCCUGAGGAAAAGAAAUCAACCGAGAUUCCCUUAGUAGUGGCGAGCGAACGGGGACCAGCCCUUAAGUUGAUUUGAGAUUAGUGGAACGCUCUGGAAAGUGCGGCCAUAGUGGGUGAUAGCCCCGUACACGAAAAUCUCUUAUCAAUGAAAUCGAGUAGGACGGAGCACGAGAAACUUUGUCUGAAUAUGGGGGGACCAUCCUCCAAGGCUA